RNAcentral lists this unclassified non-coding RNA (282 nucleotides) under soil metagenome. Its description in RNAcentral is "partial internal transcribed spacer 1". The record is from RNAcentral.
UCAACGUAUCCACGUUUAUAAACCAAAUUCGUGAACUGUUUGCUUUAACCUUUGGGCUAUUGGCCGCUGUCUAUGACGUCAAACUCAUUGUAUGGUUAUGGGUUUGUCAUGUGACAAUUUAAGGCUGUUUCUCCAAAGUGUAUUAACCAUACGUUAAUUCUACUAUUAACCACUUGAACCCCUUUUAUUUUUAUUCUUUGUUUGAACUGAUUUGUUUCUUACUCAGCGCUCUCUCUUCUGAGAGUGCCGAGAAGAAAUCGAAUUACGAAACAAAAAAAAGAA